ACACUCUCAGGAUGGCACCUGGAGGGUUUCUAGUACUCUACCAGUCUUGGCUAUGGGAGGGAGAGUCAAGCAGGGGCAUAUCCACUCCAUUCCUAGCUUGGGAAGUGGCUAGCAAGUGGAAGGCAAUCUGCUACAAGU
Tachyglossus aculeatus (Australian echidna) is the source of this 138-nucleotide small nucleolar RNA. Lineage: Eukaryota; Metazoa; Chordata; Mammalia; Monotremata; Tachyglossidae. The record is from RefSeq and is a predicted model, not a curated record.